This 38021-nucleotide long non-coding RNA is filed under the name Coffea arabica (coffee). RNAcentral describes it as "long non-coding RNA (CARA_LNC008179)". Lineage: Eukaryota; Viridiplantae; Streptophyta; Magnoliopsida; Gentianales; Rubiaceae. The record is from RNAcentral.
CCAGUAUAGCCUUCCGCUAUAAACACUUCUCACUCAAACCACCUCCAUUGCCUCUUCUAUUCCUAAACUCGCACAGCCCCAGCUUCAAACCCACGCAACCUCCUAAACGCUGCAUUUCAACUCCUUCUGUUUCUGCUUCGUCUCCUUCUCCUUCUUCAACUGAAACACCACUUGUUGCCGCUUCCCCUAAAGUAUCUCGCUCCAUCCCUUCUCUUGAAUGGGUGAGCCGGACCGCUUUCUGCGGUGAAUUGUCAGAAGCUGAUGUGAAUAAACGGGUCAGGCUCUGCGGCUGGGUUGCCCUUCAUCGUGUUCAUGGUGGCCUCACUUUCGUUAAUCUCCGUGACCAUACCGGUGUUGUACAGGUACUUAUUUUUCAUUUUCUUCUCUCUCUCUCUCCUUUUUUUUUUUUAAAAAAAAUAAUGAAUUCUCAAUCUUUCAUUUCUUGAGCAUGUAAUAGUUCUUGACUGGCUAUUGCUUUUAUUUUUCCAUUGUAAUAAAUAUUUUUGAACAUGAUGACCAUUAGUUUGUUUACUUAAGUCAGAAAUUUAAGGCAUUCUGCCUAGGAAACGUGGAAAAUUUUGAACAUUGAUGGAAUUUUAUUUGAAGUAAUCUGUCUGAAGUUACCAGUACUUACAGUCUACAAUCCGUGUUUUGGUUUGUUUUCUUUGUUGAGAAUGCUUGUUGAUUUGCGAUAAAUGCUGCAUGGGAAAGAGUAGCUAUGAAUAUGCUAUUUGAUGAAAUUGCGACAAAGAGUAUCUUUGGGGCGAGUUGUUGAACUGGUCUUUACCUUUUGUGCUUUGGGAAUUUCAGAUUACGACCCUUCCCAACGAAUUUCCUGAUGCUCAUUCAACAGUGAAUGACUUAAGAGUUGAGUAUGUGGUGGCCGUAGAAGGUGUUGUUCGGCCUCGCCCAAUUGAGUCUGUCAACAAGAAGAUGAGGACUGGUGCAGUAGAGGUGUGUUCUGCUUUAGCUUUAAAUCUUUAUGCAUAGAUGGAUGCAUUCUGCAAUAAUUACAGAAAAAGCAGCUGAAGGAAGUCACUGAUGACAUUCUCACUAUAGUAAGUCUAGAAAAUUUGAAUUUGAGGUCUCCUUUGGCAGUUCACCUGUCUGUUUAGUCUCCAUGAACUCUUUAAGAAACUGAGAAUAACAUGCCUAUGGCUGAAAACAAGGCGUGGUGCUAGUUGUUAUGAAUUCAACCAGAUCUAUUGUGUCAAGGGUGUUUUGCAUUGUGAUUUGAAGGAAAACCUUUUUAGGCUUUUGUUCAAGCAGUCCCCCUGGCCCAAUUUUUGAAGUGUUCAAGUGUUAAAAUUAACAGGUGUAACAAGAACAAUCCAAGGGCAAUGUUUUAUGUUUUCCCCCGCAAAAACCUUCCAAGUGUAAUGAUUAAUAUGGUUAAAAUACGACCUUGUUUGAAUUGCUAUUCUAUAAGUGUUAUUAGAAGAAGAUCACAGCUUAGGUGCAUCAGAGAAAGAGAAAAUCGAAGUCUGAUGCUGGUGAUUGACUAGGAGAGAAGGAAAGGUAAUGAAUUGUUGCUGAUGUUAUAAUCAUAUGUUCAUGGAUGAGUUCUUUAUCUCAGUGCUCCACAAUUUACUUAGUUUCUGCAAAGUUGGUUGUGGAAUUAUGAUGUGUAGUUGAUUGUGGAAGACGAAUUCUAAUAACUGAUGACCGCUGUUUUAUUAUUUCCUUAACUUGGAUUUGCUCCUGGAUGAUUAUUCUUUUUGGUGGUUUUAGUACAAUUGCUUAAGUUUGCAGGUGGCUGCUGAGCGUGUCCAUGUUCUGAAUACUGUGAGAUCUAAGCUGCCUUUCUUAGUUACUACUGCAGAUGAUGCCAAAGAAUCUGUAAAGGAGGAAAUUCGCUUGAGGUGAAAACUUUCUGAAGUUUUUUGACCAUGGGCUUAUGUUUUGCUUCUCUCUGCAGAUUGCUGUUAGUUCUCUUGAUAAUUGAUAUUUUUACUUUUCUGGUCGAGUUGGGCAUUUCUUAAUGAUUGAAGGUCUACUUUUGUUUCUGCUUCCUCUCGCUAAUUUGUGGUAUUGUGACUGGAGUGGGUAAACUGGAGUUUGCUUGGGUCAUGGUUUGUUGUUCUAGUUGUUUCUGAGACACUUAACUGCUUAAGUAAAAGAAUACUAGUGCUUGCCUCAUUUACAAGAGAAGAAAUAAAAUUAGUAAGUAAUAUCACUAUAUGAUGAUAAGGGAUUUUGGUGAUGUUGAUCUUUGAACCACAUAGUUGAAGAGGUAGCAUGGGUUAUUUACCAUCAAUUCUCACAUUUUGCAUGUUCCAUACCCUAUGAUGUGUGUUUUCUAUUCAAUGUAGUUUGUGGCUUUAAAGCAUGCAAUGCUUCAGAGGCCAUAGUUUUUUCCAUAGCCUAAAAUAUAUUGAUUGUUUACUGCUUGUAAGAUCUUCGAUGCAUGUCUCUUAAACUGUACGGAUUAAAUGGUCCCCAUACCUGUUACUAGAUAUCGAUGCCUUGAUUUGCGCCGGCCACAAAUGACUUCCAACAUUAUAUUGCGGCAUCAAGUGGUAAAACUCAUCCGAAGGUACCUUGAGGAUGUACAUGGUUUUGUGGAGGUAAUGUUUGCAUUUUAACAUCUUAGUGCAAUCAGAAGAUUCUACUGGAGUCUGUCUCUUCCACUCUCUGAUCCUUGCCUUCAUGUUUGUAAGGCAGAUUGAGACUCCAAUUCUAUCUAGAUCUACCCCAGAAGGUGCUCGGGAUUAUCUUGUCCCUUCAAGAAUUCAGGUACAGUAUUUGCCCUGUUAAAUGUACCUAUCUCGGGAUUAUCUCUAAUUUCUCCUCUUCACUCUUUUGGUGUUUUCCCUUGUUUUCUGUUGAAGUGAAUUGAAAAACAAAAUGUAAUCUUGGUAUUGAUGUUGUCGUUUGUCCUGGUGAUGACUUAGUGAUUUUGAAAGAAUUCCCAUCCCAUCAGGCUUCAAUCUCGAAUUCAAGCCAAAUUGUGUUUUCUAAGCUACGCUUAAUCUCCAGCCUUUUAUGGCUACCUAUGUUUUUAGCUUCUCAAAUUUAUACUCAGAGUUAAAAUUUCAUUGCAUUUGAGCUGUUAUUCCCCAAACUUUUUACCUUUGUUGUUGAGAACCCGCUCAAGGCAACUUGUAAGAUAAGAAAAGGAGAACGCCAUUUAAUACAACUCGUGUAGAUCUUUUGGAAGUGAUGGAGGCUGAACAAUUUCCAUACAGCAUUUGAUACAUCGAAACAUCAAGGAUGAAAAAUAUUUACUUGUUUUAUUGGCUUUUUAACAUCUAAUUCUCUACGUUUCAAGUUUAUGUUUUCCAGAGAUAUAUCAGUCAUCAAAUAAAAAUCUGAUUGCUUAAUUCCAUCAUUUAAAGCCAGGAACAUUUUAUGCCUUGCCCCAAAGUCCGCAGCUGUUCAAACAAAUGUUGAUGGUCUCUGGUUUUGAUAAAUACUAUCAAAUUGCAAGGUAAUAAGUUUUAAGUUUACGACUAUUUGAUCAGACUGUUGAUUUUCAUUUAAAUUCCCCUUUUCUCUUGCAUCUUUACAUUCUGCCACACAUUGUUCAACUUAUGUGAAGAGGAUCUCCCCCCUUCCCCCCUCAGAUUAUUAUGAGGAAAAAGGAUUCUAGAGGGGGGAUCAAGAAAUUUUGCAUUUAUUGCUGGGUCAUUUAUUAGUAUACAACCAAGACCACAAUGUGACUUCAUCUGCUCUUGCUUUGCAGGUGUUUCAGGGAUGAAGAUCUAAGGGCAGAUAGACAACCUGAAUUUACGCAACUAGAUAUGGAGAUGGCUUUCACUCCCUUAGAGGACAUGCUCAGACUUAAUGAAGAUUUGAUUAGGAAGGUUGUCUUUUUUUUUUUUUUUGGGUGGUAGAAAUAGUUUGAUGAGGUAACAAAUCACAAAAUGAAAUGAGGUGGGGAUAAAAGCAUUAGAAUGAUCCAGUGAGUUAAGAUACGUUUCAUUUAGCUGACCCCUCUCACUUCCUUGAUCCUGCCAAUUAGUUUGCUGUAGUUGAUAGCCUAAUAGAUAGUAGAGCAAUAAUCUGAUUUCACAAUUUGUGAGUUCCUUCAGACCUUUGAUAAAAUCCUCUAUUGAAGUGAGAUAUAUUUUCUGCACAUAAAAUUCUGUAAAACAUGUCCUGAAAUUUUCAUUAAAAGAAGCUGUUCUUCCAUAGCAAUAUUAUAACUAAAUUUACGUACAUUGUGGGGCUCUAAACUGUUGAUUUGAAUUUUUAAUACCUUCCAGAAAUUCUGAAUCGAAUGUUAUUUUCGACCAGAGCCUAUAUGAUGGUUGAAUCCUGUUUUUCAACUGAUUGGUUAGUAUUUGAAUUUGAUGACCUAGGUUUCGCACCUCCUGGUAGAUUUUUGUAUGAUCUUUUACUUUCCAAUUUUAGUAACAUUCUCCUGUGUUAUGGGCUGGGUGUGGGAAUUGAACUGUAAUAGCAUUAAUCUUGUUAAAACUUGUAUAACAUUUUGCUGUAUAGAAGCUAAACAUCAUCAGCUGUGCACAUGCUUGGCCUAUAUGUGGUGCCGAAAAUAAUUAUUACUUCUGAGUAAACAUGACAAUCUUUUGCAUUAUCUGACUAAAUAUCUUUUAGAAGAUUGAAACAAAUUAUACGUAUGUUUUAGUGUAAAUUUUACCUCGUCAUGCUUGUAGUCUAUCAUAUGAUUCCUUUUGGUAUCAGCAAAUAAUAUAUAUAUAUAUAUAUGUAGGUUUGUUCCGAAAUAGUUGUUUGUUCUAAUAAGCUUGAUUUUUUCCCCUGAAGUUUAAAGCUGGAUGCUGUCCAAUUUUUCCUUUUGUAGCAUGGAGUUAGGGUCUAGCGAGGCAUGGGUUACAUGGGUAGAUGAGGGCUCUGAUGGCCCAAUUUAGAUGUUUAAUACAACUCUUAAUUCUGUAUUGAUAUUACUUUUGCUGUUACUUCUGAUAUUCAACUGGUAAGUUGACGGGGCAUGAUAAAUAUUUUCCUGCAGGUUUUCCUUGAGAUCAAAGGUGUCCAGCUACCUGACCCUUUCCCAAGGCUCACUUAUGCUGAAGCCAUGAGCCAAUACGGUUCAGAUAGGCCAGAUACUCGUUUUGAUCUUGGAUUGAAAGAUGUAAAGCUUGUUGGUUUUCAUGCAUUAUUUGUUUUUAUUCUUUAUCUCUUUCAAUUUUCUCAACUGAGAGCUGCCAAUGCAGUCUAUAGCCCCUUCUUCAGUUUGUCCCAAGAAAAAUAGUUUCUUUUCCCUUUUUUUUUUUUUUUUUUGGGAGGGGGGGGGGGGAGACAGGUUGUCAUUCUUUUGGUACCAUAGAUGAUACUAUAUUAUGAAAUCUUAAAUCUAUUUUUUGUUUUUUGGAGUGAUUACCUAAUGGUCUUGGCUUGCAGGUAUCUGAGAUAUUUUCAGAUUCCUCCUUCAAGGCAUUUGCAGAUACCUUGAAGAGUGGGGGAAUUGUUAAAGCCUUGUGUGUCCCUUCAGGAGGAAAGACAUACUCAAAUACUGCUUUGAAGAAAGGUGAUAUUUACAAUGAAGCUAUUAAAUCUGGAGCAAAGGGUUUGCCUUUCUUAAAGGUGUUAGAAGAUGGUGAGAGUGAUGUUUGUGAUUGUUUGCACAUUUCAUCGCAUUUUGCAGAUUAUAUUGUUCUUAGUGCUUGAUGUAUAUCUUUUAGGGGCAAUUGAAGGGAUUUCCCCACUGGUAUCAUGCUUGGACCACACAAAGAAAGACAAGUUACUCAAACACUUAUCUGCGGGAUCAGGUGAUCUCAUCUUGUUUGCAGUGGGUCAGCCUGCAUCAGUAAAUAAAACUUUAGAUAGGCUGAGGUUGUAUGUAGCCCAUGAUUUGGGCUUGAUUGAUCCUGUAAGUUUACUGCUUAAAGCUUUUAAUUUCAUGCAAUAUACUAUUGGAUUUAAAAGAAAAAGGAAAGGAAACUUGGAUUAAUUAUUUUUACACAUCUCACUUUGUCUAUUUGGUGUCAUUUAGUCCAGGCCCUCAAUCUUAUACAAUAUAUAAGAAGAGGGCAUUGACAGCCAGUGUAAAUAUUUUCUACAAUUUUUUUUCGAACUUUCAAUUUUAUUCUUAGAAAAUUAAUUUUUUACCCUAAGUCACGUGAUCACAUUUACCAACAUAAUCACUCUAAAUAUUGCAAUUACCAAAUUAUCUAUUUUUAAUUGAAGAAAAAAUUAAUUAUAAAUUGAAGUUUGUUAAUGAAAAGUUCUUAUAAAAUUUAUUAAUGAAACAAUAAAAUUUACAAAUUCAUAAAAAAUAAUAAUGAUUUCUAAAUUGCACACAAAGUAAGUGUGCUUUUUAACACUAAUAUCAAUUAUUUAAGAUUGGAUCGCACACACAUAUAUAUAUAAAUAUAUGCACGCAUAGAGGGGGAGAUAAAGAAUACUCCCUACUUAAAAAUCACUGAAAGACAAAAACAAAAAAAGAGACAUCAGUCAACACAAUAAAAUAAAACACUGCAAGAGCCUAAUUUAUAGUAAUUCAUAAGGAACGAACGCUAACAACACUGUGAAAAAUCGUCAAUAAACUAAACAGUAAAAAAAAACUGCUGAAAGCCAUGCAUAUAUUAAACUUAUCCUGACUUUGCCAACCACAGAUCUUCAAACCUGCAGAGAAUUUCCGAAGUCAUCAGAACCAUAAGGAACGAUGGAGUUGUUGCAGUAUUCAGUCGUCGUCUGAUUGAAGAACAUAUCAUCACAACCAACUGCAGUCACGCCGGGAUUGAUAUCACCGCUAUUAUUUAAGCCCAAAUUAGUUGAAGAAGAAGAAGAAUUUUUCAACAACAUCAAGUCAUCGGCUCUCAUCAACAGCUUUUUCUUCAACUCUUCCAAUGAAGCUUUAUACUGUUGAAGGUCCUCCAAACCCAUAUGCUCAAUUGGGUCAUCCCACCAAAAACUCCCACCGUUCUCUAACUUCGAACCUUCAAUCAAUUCCUUUCUUUUUCUCUCGACCUCUAAUUCUUUGGACACUUUAGCAUAGUGUCGGUUGUGUUGUUGAAUCUCAUGAGCACCCAGUGGGAUUUUCGGAUCAGCAACGGAUGACGAGGAGGAUGAUGAUGAUGAUGAUGAUGCCGAUCCCGUGGUAUAGCGGUUAAUAACAGCGUCAAUGUUGGGGUGACCAAAAGCAAAGACGCGCUUGCCCAAAGAAUGAACGAUGAUGGCAACUUCUGCCCCGGUCAAGACGCAAAGUUCACUUGCUUUCUUGAAGAGACCGACUCUUCGCUUGGAGAAGGUUACUUGCCUGUUGCUCAAGUUGUCUAUCUUCUUGAUCUCGAUUUUUUUUCGACCUUGGGUCGUCUUCUUCUUCAUCAUCAUGUUGUUCAUUUUCGCCUUUUUUUUUUUUUUGUCUUUUGGUGGGAUUUUGAUGAAUUAAGGGCUAGCUACAUUGCUUUGGCAUCCCAUCCUAUUAUUAUAUAAGGUUCCACCUUCCUUAAUAUUUACCCGUAAUUUUGUUUCCUAAAAACGUCAAAGAUUUUAUUGUGAUUCGGUCGAUAUAUUUUCUCCAGUUUCCAUUGUUUCACCCUCCUAAUUUCCCCUUGAUUGAUGGAUUAAACUUAGAAAUGGAUGAUUUAUGUAGAGUAACAUCUCUAUCUUUUUCUCUCUUUUUUUUCGACAAAAUAUAAAUUAGUGUUAACUCCUCAUUGAUUGAUGGAUUAAACUUAGAAAUGGACAAUUUGUCUAGAAUUAACAGCUAUUUUCUUCUUUUCCUGGCAAAACAUAAUUUACUCUCUCACACUGACCAAGAAAAUGGCAUUGUUGAGAACUAUCGAUCUAAUCAUUUCAUCAAAAUUACAAAAAAAAACAAACGAUCAAAUUGUUAUUUAAUGGCAUGUGUAGUUAGUUUAAGUAGUUAAUGGUUUAUUAUCUUUUAGCAAAGCGAUAUACAUAUUGUUUGGAUGAAUUCAUGCAUCAACAUAUAGAAACAUAUAUACUUCCAAAAAUCUAAUUAUUUCUUCUUCUUUUUUUGGCUAAGUAUUUUCUUGCCUAGGUUAAAAUUAGAAAAAUUUAUUUCCUCAGCUUGGUGACAACUAAAGUGUCUCCAAAAUGUUCUCAAUUCAACUUCGUUAAAUAGAUCAAUAAAAAUGAAACUACUUUUCCAAUUAUUUCCUUAAUCUGUGGGCGGUAAUCGAGUAUGAUUUACAUGUAUUAAGUAUAUAGGACUCUUAGUAAACAAUUUUUCCAAUUAUUUCCUUAAUCCGUGCCAGGCAAGUGCGAUGUAGCUCGGACUCUAGGAAUGGAGCUUGUUAAAUUCCACUUUCACCCCUCAUCCGCUCAAAUUGAAUGGAAAAAAUCAACUCAACUACUUUUUGUGCAUUGUAUAAGUUGCCUCACCUAAUUACGUCCAGGAAUUGAACCACAGUGAAGUUAUUCUCUACGUUCCGUUUUGUUAUUAUUAUUAUUUUUGGGGGUGAAUGAAUGGGGCAGGCUUUGAAACAAUUUAAGCAAUGACACUUUUGUUUGGGUGGUUUGGUUCCUAUAGAAUUGAGGCAUAGAAUUGGAAUUGGAAGCCUUAUUUCUAAUUCUUUUGUUUGGCUUCUAACUUUCCCAAAUAAUUAGAAUUGAAUUUCAAUUCUACGGGGCUUGAAUUCAAUGACACUUUAUAUUGUCAUUGUUGCAAUAUUUUCUAUUUAUAUUGUCAUUGUUGGUUGUAAUUUUUGCUGAAUGUCUCAGCUGGUUUUGGGGCUUUGGCUGGUAUUUUGCCAAAAAAAAGGAAGUAAUUUGCUUUUUUCUUUAAAGCUUUAGUAACAAUUAGCUAAAUGCACGAAAAAAUAAAUUAUUAAAGGCAUAAAUUGAUUUUUUCCUUUAAAUUUUUAGUAAAAAUUAGCUAAAUGUAAGAAAAAAAUUAUUAUAUAAAAAUAAAAUAAAAAUUUUAUGUAAGCAAAUAUUUCAUGAAAAUAAUUCUAAUUCCUAAUGAAUUCUUCUCUCACGCAAAUAAAGAAUUUGAAAUUCCAUACCAAUUCUAUGCAUUUUCCAAACGAAAGAAUUGCAAUGACUUGGAAUUCCAAUUUUAUAGAAUUCGAAUUCUAAUUCAAUUUCAAUUCUAUAGUACCAAACGCACCCUUUAUGAGAUUAAACUAUUUACAGUAGAUUGAUGGAGGAAUCAUCAGAGAAGAGCAAUGACCUAAUUAUUGACAGUUUAGACUAGCGAGGCACUAGCUUGAUGCACCAAAGUCAAAUCGGAAAAACGAGAUAAGUUUAUACCGAAUAGGCUUCAAAAUCCUCCAUUAUCAUAUCCAAAGUUGAAGAUAUUAGGAUGGACCGAACCCACGCUGACCCCGGUUGGUUUGCUCUCAUAUUGAUGAUACAAUCCCGCAGCAGCACCAUUGUUUAGUGUAAAAAAUGAAGAAUUGUUGUAAUUAGCCUCAGCCGCCACCUUGCUAGCAUGACUCGUCACACUGUUUUUCAUGUUUUCCAGUGAAUCUCUUAGUUGUUCAAGUUCGUGUAAUCCAAGUUCAUUAACAGGGGAUUCCCACCAAUAAUGAUUUUGGCUGGCUUUUCUCAUGAGAUCAAAUGCCUCGCCUCUUUUCUUCUCAAUUUCUAAUUCACUGAGAAUUUGAGUGAGCUGCAAGUUGAGCUCCUGGACACUACUGGCAUUCCUGUGAGCCCCAACGAGGUGGAGUGCACUCGAGUUUGGCUGAGGAUUUCUGCAUCGCGCAAUGAAUUUAUCGAUUAUGUAAUCGACACUAGGAUGGCCAAAAGAAAAUACUUUUCCCGCUGGGGAAAAAACUAUAAUGGCUAAUUCAACGCCACAGAGAGUGCUGAGUUCGUGCGCCUUCUUAUAGGGUCCCGAACGGCGUUUUGAGAAUGUAACUUGGAGAUGAUUCUUGGUCUCAAUUUUUGCAAUUUUGAUCUUUUGGCGACCCAUGCUAGGUUUCUUUGCCAUGAUCUUCUUCUGAAUACAAGAGGGAGAGAGGUUUUUUAGGUUAGGUUUGGUGGUUCUAUGAAGAGUUAUGGAUAAAGUGGAGAAGCAACAAUUUAAAGGGCCUCAAGUUUACUCUUGAAUCUGGAUAGAUUGAUUGUAAUUUGUGCUAGCUAGUAUAUGUAAUCAUUAGGCAUAAUUACCCUUGAUUUGGGAGUUUAAAAAAAUCUUAGAUCUUAAUGCUAUGAUGGUGUGACAUAAAUCUUCUCUUAGUUGGCAUUACAAGGUGAAGUAUCAGUUAUUAUUGCAAGCCAAAGUCAACUCAUAUAUAUGUGUUUCUCUACUCAUUUUGGGUAUGAAUUGAUGAUCAAUUGGCACUCACACUCACUCUGUAGGCAUUUGUUAGAGCACAGAAAGUGCUUUUGGCACGUUACUUAUGUCUUCAUAAAGAGCCGAAAGAUGGAAGAGCAUUUAUAGAGGAGCAAAAUGCUGUGUAUAACUGUUUUCACCAUAAAACGCUAGUAGUAAUUAGGAUUAAGACAUAAAGAAAAGAAAAGAGACAUCCUUAUCAGUGUGCUAUCCCAAGUACUGAUUUUCAGAAUACAAAAUCUAAAAAAAAAAAAAAAACCAGAUGUCCUUAUUAGAGUGCAUUAAAACCAACCACGUCACAGUUGUACACAUUUCAACUUAAUUAUCAAAACUCUCAUCCUAGGAAAGUAUUUCAAAAAUGCCACUUUCAAACCACAAUUGAGCCAUCUCAGUCGAGCCCCAAAAAAAAUCCAAAUCCAGGCAAGCUAAUUGGCACAGAAGCAGCAUUUGAUUUCAAUUGAGCACCAAAAAUUACUUGCCCAUUUUCUGCUUGGGUCUGGAAGCACAAUAAUGGCCUACUGUUUCAGUACUUUAUCUCCAUUUAUCUGUGAUCUUCCAGAGUAUUGAAUGAGAUAAGAGCAAUAAUCAUUCCCAAAAUUAAAUUGGGAUAACAAUCAUGAAAGCAUUUAUCUAGAUGCUGAGAACAUCUUCAUAAAUGCAAGAAUUCAUGUAGAAGAGAAGAUUGUGAGCACAAAUACAUCAUGAUGUCAUGGAUUUGUUACAUAAUACUUUGCCUUAUAGGCCAGUUGAACAUGAAAACUCCUGCUUUACAACAAUAUACAUUCUAGUUUCAUCAAGGUAAUACAAUAAUGACAAAUAGAAAGCAAACUUUGGAUAUGCAUCUGCAGAAGAAUGACCAAGAGGUGGUGAAAAAGAGUGUUGAAGUUUAAGCACACAAAUAGACUUGGAACAUCUAGUUUAGAUAGAUUGGUAUCCAAAGUGGUCUAAUAUAACUCAAGCUCAUGAUUAGCAAUUAUCAGGAAGUUUCAAAUGCCGGCAGUAACAGAACGGUUUCAAGAGAACUGCUGGCAAAAAGUGUAGCAGAGUCAUCAGAAGUUCUCAAAAUGCGCUAUUAUGUAGUACAACUUCUGGAUAGGGGAGGUACCGGGGGCAGUGGAAGGUUAAUUUUAUGGUAGUGAAAGCAAUCACCUACACUGUGUGGUGACCUACCACAUCAGCCUUAAGACAUUACAGGAAAGAAAGUAAACUAGCUGAAAAAUUGUUCAGAGGCUGAAGCAGUCCGACCAUUGUAAUAUUGUUACCUUAACUCUUCCAGAGAGCUGGAUGGUUGAAGUGGAGAAUAUAAUGAUUUCAAAACAUCAGGUUGAGAAUCCAAUGCACUGUACUGGUGUACAUAACCUGCAGCACAGAAAUGUUUAUUAAACACUGAUGGCACAAGAACCAUUGUGGAGCUACUUGUGCUGGCCAUUGCAGCAUUCAUAGUCCAAAACAUUACAAUGCUUACAUAUGACUAAAAAUUGGAAGCCUGCAGAAAGAAAAAUUAUAACUGAUAGCAAAUCAGCUAUAGUUGAACCUUAUAUACUGGACUAGUUAGUGUAGUGCUUGAUAGGCAAAAGUAAUAAAGUUUUAAGCAAGAUGAAGUUGCUAUUAUAUGAUAGAAUGCAUGUCAGUGCAGUCAUCAACAAGAUCCUAACAAAAGCAUCUCGAUUUAAUUGCCAAAAAAAUGUGGAAUUUUUAAUGACUACAUAUAACAAUUAGCCAGUCAAAACUCACCAAUAUAGACACUCAUGAAGAACGCAGCACAAAUUAUCUCAGCUAGCAUAAUAAUCCUGCACAUUUAAUGCUAAGUGAUUAAAUAGUCAGAAAUGAACAGUUUCCCUUGGCAGCAAUCAUGGAUUCCUAGAUGCUACAUAUGCUUCUUGCAUUUGGCAAAAGUAACUUUUCACAUAAAAAAAAGUGCUUAACAUAUGCAUGUUUGUUUCUUCCAGACAGAUUGAAAAAAGAGAGUUUACAUUAGUCCAGAUGAACCUAGUGAACUUGAGUAUGUAUUCAAAGAACUAAUAGCAUACCUAAGUAUUGUUGAUAUGGACAGAAAGCGUAUAUAAAUUUCCCAGACAUGGAUAAGCAGCAUAGCUGCAGUUCCUGCAGUGCAUAUAUCAUAGAGAUAUCUCAUUGAAAGCCAAAAAGGUGCUGACUACAUUUCAGUAUUUCUGUGAAGAAUACGAGCAAGGUAUUACAAGAGAUAAAUGGAGGAACAUUCAAUAAAAGAAGGUUGAUCAUCAUGCAGUAAACAAGGAACUUAAAGAAAAAGAAUAAUAAUUUAAAAUGAAAAAGAAAAAGUAGUAAUUUAGUAAGAUUUCCAGUAAUAUUUGGAUGGAAGACUGGUCAAAAGGCAAAGAUGACCUACUUAAGGACUAAAAAAUGCUAGGUGAAGAUUGAAUUCUGAAAAUGUCUUCAAACAAAAAGCAAAGAACUGCGUCCAAAUGCGAGAUAAACACUAGACUAUAUAGAAUGGGACAAACUAAUUUGAUGUCAAAAUGGAGUAAAUAUUUACUAUGAUUUCUUCAUAUUUAGAAAUUCUUCAGGUUACAACAUCAUAGGGCAUGAAAAUGCAGAUACAAACGUACCACAUGCUAUAACAGCAAAAGGUAGGCGAAUAAUGUGCUUCAACUUUUGGCUGAAAACGUAGUAACCCUACAAAACACAUGCAUGCCUUGAAUCUAAGCUUCAAAAGCUACAAAUUUUAAGCUGGGAUAAAAUAACAGCAACCAAGAGAUCAAGAAAAAUACUCAUAAACUUGCUAAGUAAAAUAACAGCACACAUAAAUUAGUUCAAGAACAUAACUAUUACGAACACAUGUGCACUCAGAAUGUCCUAAUGUCCCCAUGAUUCCACCAAUCUCCUCACAUCUCGCCUUGUGUGUUGUCUUAUACCUAAUUCUUUAGUCAAUUUAUUAGCUCCUCUCUUAGCUUAGACUUCACAAAUCCCAAAAUUCAAUCAAAACUUUGGCUUCCAAAUUAUUUAUGCAGUUGACAAUGAUGGUUAAGGUUUCCUUCUGAAGUUCUACCUUUAGUUCAAAGAAUUAUUUACAUCUUCCCAAAGUUGGAAGAAAAGAAACAUACAUACACAAAAGAAAACAAAUUAGUACCAAGAUGGACUUGAAAUCAAUUGAUAAAUAGAAAGGAUUAUACACAUACAUACCCCAAAUGCAUAUGAACUCAUGUUUAUGUAUGUGCUUCUGUGUGUGUAUGUGUGUCUGUGCGUGUGUGUGAGUGUGUGUAUGAGAGAGAGAGAGAACCUGUAACCGUAUUUUCUGCACUUGAUAGACAAGGUAUUGCUGAAAUAAACCUGGAAAACACAGUAACAAUGAUAAACUACAGAUCAGGAAGUAUUUGAAAAGAAAACUCAAAAAAACUGAGAUGAAUUAUAUGACAUCUAAAUCAAAUGAAACUUGAAAGAUGAAGCCUGCAAAAAGCAAAGUUAAAAUCACCGCCAACUUCCAGGGCAGUUAAGUCAUCACAUCGAAGAAUACAUCAAAAAAGGGUAAAGAAGACCAAGCAUGUACCUGUGAUUACCAAAAGAAUGACAUCAGAACUACAGAGCAAAGGUGAAAUCAGUUCCGGUUGAGGGUGAAAAAACCAUGUAGCUCCAGCAGCAAUAAUAGCAUAACCUGCCUAAAAUUCAAGAAAAUCAGCAGUUCUUGGUACAAACUGAAAAUGUAGUAAUUAACUUAGUUGACUCCGAAGCAGAUAAUAGCUACCACUUGCCAGCAAAAUACAGUAGAAUAUACUCCCCAAAAUGCUAGUAGGCUUCCGGUGACCAAAUAAAGGAGCCUCAUGCAGAAUGUCAAGGAACCUAUGGCAAAAUGAUUCGCAAUAAUCCAUCACAAAUACAGCCAAAACUUUAACAUGAUGCUUAUACAUGACAAAAGAAAUGUAAUCAAACAGAAUGUACACUUCCUCGAGCAUAGGAAUAUAUAAAUAAAGAAAGAACAGUCCAGUUUUAUACAACAGCUUAAACAGUUAAGCACGACACCAAAGAGUUAACUUGCUGCACUACUGCUUGGAGAUGCUAAGAACAGAAUUCUGAUUUCCUCAUGUUAAUAUAUUAAAUGCAUGUUCAUGAAGGUGGAAAUUUUUUUAUUGGAAACGUAAGAAUUCUCGGACUCUUUUGAGCAAUUUAAAUAUGAAAUUCCAGCAAUUCUGAAGACCUUAUUUGUGCAAUGUUUUGUAAAACAAAUGACUGAAAUUGGGCAGCAGCAAACUAAGCCUAAGCACGGCUAAGCAAAGCAACAAUCAUUUUUGUUUAUUCUAGAUAUCAUUUGGUCCUCCUAUCACUUCAGUUAGCAUCUGAGGCUCUGAGUUUGAUUUAAUUCUCGCAUAAUACGACCUAAACCUAAAAUUACAGGACCAUAAAGUUUCAAAUUCACUUGCUUUGUACUUUAUUAGGAGAGUACCAGCAGCAAAAACAAUAAAACUUAUAACAAAGAAAAAGGAAAUAAUCCUAGAUUAAUUAUUCUCCCAAGAUAUUUAUUUCUCAAAAAGAAUCAUUAUGUAAACUAUCUUAACUAUAUUAUGUAAACUUGUUUUUAUUCUUUAUCUCUUUCAAUUUUCUCAACUGAGAGCUGCCAAUGCAGUCUAUAGCCCCUUCUUCAGUUUGUCCCAAGAAAAAUAGUUUCUUUUCCCUUUUUCUUUUUUUUUUUUGGGAGAGGGGGGGGGGGGGGAGACAGGUUGUCAUUCUUUUGGUACCAUAGAUGAUACUAUAUUAUGAAAUCUUAAAUCUAUUUUUUGUUUUUUGGAGUGAUUACCUAAUGGUCUUGGCUUGCAGGUAUCUGAGAUAUUUUCAAAUUCCUCCUUCAAGGCAUUUGCAGAUACCUUGAAGAGUGGGGGAAUUGUUAAAGCCUUGUGUGUCCCUUCAGGAGGAAAGACAUACUCAAAUACUGCUUUGAAGAAAGGUGAUAUUUACAAUGAAGCUAUUAAAUCUGGAGCAAAGGGUUUGCCUUUCUUAAAGGUGUUAGAAGAUGGUGAGAGUGAUGUUUGUGAUUGUUUGCACAUUUCAUCGCAUUUUGCAGAUUAUAUUGUUCUUAGUGCUUGAUGUAUAUCUUUUAGGGGCAAUUGAAGGGAUUUCCCCACUGGUAUCAUGCUUGGACCACACAAAGAAAGACAAGUUACUCAAACACUUAUCUGCGGGAUCAGGUGAUCUCACCUUGUUUGCAGUGGGUCAGCCUGCAUCAGUAAAUAAAACUUUAGAUAGGCCGAGGUUGUAUGUAGCCCAUGAUUUGGGCUUGAUUGAUCCUGUAAGUUUACUGCUUAAAGCUUUUAAUUUCAUGCAAUAUACUAUUGGAUUUAAAAGAAAAAGGAAAGGAAACUUGGAUUAAUUAUUUUUACACAUCUCACUUUGUCUGUUUGGUGUCAUUUAGUCCAGGCCCUCAAUCUUAUACAAUAUAUAAGAAGAGGGCAUUGACAGCCCGUGUAAAUAUUUUCUACAAUUUUUUUUCGAACUUUCAAUUUUAUUCUUAGAAAAUUAAUUUUUUACCCUAAGUCACGUGAUCACAUUUACCAACAUAAUCACUCUAAAUAUUGCAAUUACCAAAUUAUCUAUUUUUAAUUGAAGAAAAAAUUAAUUAUAAAUUGAAGUUUGCUAAUGAAAAGUUCUUAUAAAAUUUAUUAAUGAAACAAUAAAAUUUACAAAUUCAUAAAAAAUAAUAAUGAUUUCUAAAUUGCACACACAGUGAGUGUGCUUUUUAACACUAAUAUCAAUUAUUUAAGAUUGGAUCGCACACACAUAUAUAUAUAAAUAUAUGCACGCAUAGAGGGGGAGAUAAAGAAUACUCCCUACUUAAAAAUCACUGAAAGACAAAAACAAAAAAAGAGACAUCAGUCAACACAAUAAAAUAAAACACUGCAAGAGCCUAAUUUAUAGUAAUUCAUAAGGAACGAACGCUAACAACACUGUGAAAAACCAUCAAUAAACUAAACAGUAAAAAAAAACUGCUGAAAGCCAUGCAUAUAUUAAACUUAUCCUGACUUUGCCAACCACAGAUCUUCAAACCUGCAGAGAAUUUCCGAAGUCAUCAGAACCAUAAGGAACGAUGGAGUUGUUGCAGUAUUCAGUCGUCGUCUGAUUGAAGAACAUAUCAUCACAACCAACUGCAGUCACGCCGGGAUUGAUAUCACCGCUAUUAUUUAAGCCCAAAUUAGUUGAAGAAGAAGAAGAAUUUUUCAACAAUAUCAAGUCAUCGGCUCUCAUCAACAGCUUUUUCUUCAACUCUUCCAAUGAAGCUUUAUACUGUUGAAGGUCCUCCAAACCCAUAUGCUCAAUUGGGUCAUCCCACCAAAAACUCCCACCGUUCUCUAACUUCGAACCUUCAAUCAAUUCCUUUCUUUUUCUCUCGACCUCUAAUUCUUUGGACACUUUAGCAUAGUGUCGGUUGUGUUGUUGAAUCUCAUGAGCACCCAAUGGGGUUUUCGGAUCAGCAACGGAUGACGAGGAGGAUGAUGAUGAUGAUGAUGAUGCCGAUCCCGUGGUAUAGCGGUUAAUAACAGCGUCAAUGUUGGGGUGACCAAAAGCAAAGACGCGCUUGCCCAAAGAAUGAACGAUGAUGGCAACUUCUGCCCCGGUCAAGACGCAAAGUUCACUUGCUUUCUUGAAGAGACCGACUCUUCGCUUGGAGAAGGUUACUUGCCUGUUGCUCAAGUUAUCUAUCUUCUUGAUCUCGAUUUUUUUUCGACCUUGGGUCGUCUUCUUCUUCAUCAUCAUGUUGUUCAUUUUCGCCUUUUUUUUUUUUUUGUCUUUUGGUGGGAUUUUGAUGAAUUAAGGGCUAGCUACAUUGCUUUGGCAUCCCAUCCUAUUAUUAUAUAAGGUUCCACCUUUCUUAAUAUUUACCCGUAAUUUUGUUUCCUAAAAACGUCAAAGAUUUUAUUGUGAUUCGGUCGAUAUAUUUUCUCCAGUUUCCAUUGUUUCACCCUCCUAAUUUCCCCUUGAUUGAUGGAUUAAACUUAGAAAUGGAUGAUUUAUGUAGAGUAACAUCUCUAUCUUUUUCUCUCUUUUUUUUCGACAAAAUAUAAAUUAGUGUUAACUCCUCAUUGAUUGAUGGAUUAAACUUAGAAAUGGACAAUUUGUCUAGAAUUAACAGCUAUUUUCUUCUUUUCCUGGCAAAACAUAAUUUACUCUCUCACACUGACCAAGAAAAUGGCAUUGUUGAGAACUAUCGAUCUAAUCAUUUCAUCAAAAUUACAAAAAAAAACAAACGAUCAAAUUGUUAUUUAAUGGCAUGUGUAGUUAGUUUAAGUAGUUAAUGGUUUAUUAUCUUUUAGCAAAGCGAUAUACAUAUUGUUUGGAUGAAUUCAUGCAUCAACAUAUAGAAACAUAUAUACUUCCAAAAAUCUAAUUAUUUCUUCUUCUUUUUUUGGCUAAGUAUUUUCUUGCCUAGGUUAAAAUUAGAAAAAUUUAUUUCCUCAGCUUGGUGACAACUAAAGUGUCUCCAAAAUGUUCUCAAUUCAACUUCGUUAAAUAGAUCAAUAAAAAGGAAACUACUUUUCCAAUUAUUUCCUUAAUCCGUGGGCGGUAAUCGAGUAUGAUUUACAUGUAUUUAGUAUAUAGGACUCUUAGUAAACAAUUUUUCCAAUUAUUUCCUUAAUCCGUGCCAGGCAAGUGCGAUGUAGCUCGGACUCUAGGAAUGGAGCUUGUUAAAUUCCACUUUCACCCCUCAUCCGCUCAAAUUGAAUGGAAAAAAUCAACUCAACUACUUUUUGUGCAUUGUAUAAGUUGCCUCACCUAAUUACGUCCAGGAAUUGAACCACAGUGAAGUUAUUCUCUACGUUCCGUUUUGUUAUUAUUAUUUUUUUUGGGGGUGAAAUGAAUGGGGCAGGCUUUGAAACAAUUUAAGCAAUGACACUUUUGUUUGGGAGGUUUGGUUCCUAUAGAAUUGAGGCAUAGAAUUGGAAUUGGAAGCCUCAAUUCUAAUUCUUUUGUUUGGCUUCUAACUUUCCCAAAUAAUUAGAAUUAAAUUUCAAUUCUACGGGGCUUGAAUUCAAUGACACUUUAUAUUGUCAUUGUUGCAAUAUUUUCUAUUUAUAUUGUCAUUGUUGGUUGUAAUUUUUGCUGAAUGUCUCAGCUGGUUUUGGGGCUUUGGCUGGUAUUUUGCCAAAAAAAAGGAAGUAAUUUGCUUUUUUCUUUAAAACUUUAGUAACAAUUAGCUAAAUGCACGAAAAAAUAAAUUAUUAAAGGCAUAAAUUGAUUUUUUCCUUUAAAUUUUUAGUAAAAAUUAGCUAGAUGUAAGAAAAAAAUUAUUAUAUAAAAAUAAAAUAAAAAUUUUAUGUAAGCAAAUGUUUCAUGAAAAUAAUUCUAAUUAUUGAUUUGUCUUUUUCACUACAGAAAUGUCCAAACUUAUUGACACACUAACUUAAGCCACUGCUCAGUUCUCUUCAUAUUUCGCAUGUCAAAAUUUGAUUAUAGUUUAAAAAGUCUGAAAAUUAUAUAAUGAGUCGCAAUUUCAUGAGCACUAAACCAUUAUACAGAAAGCCUAACCUCGUGGCUUCAUUGAGAAAAAUUGCAAGUUUUCUUCUCUAUCAUUCUUCCUUCCUUUUCACUUUAUUGCCCUCUCUUUGUUAGAUAUAUCCCAUUCACGAAUAAAAGCCAAUGUCAUACUGUGUGAGUGAGAAAUAAGAGCAACUGAAAACUGGACAAAAAGCAGGUCAUGUGAGGUUUUUCUCUCAUGGAUAUGGCUGCUCAAAGGAUGGCUAGCUAGAGAUCUACCAUGUGGUCUUACUAGUUAAACCAUUCUGCGAAGAUUUCCUUUUAUAUGCUUGAUUCCCUGGACAGAGAAAUGCUCCAAUCUUAACUUGUUAAUCUGUGAUCUCGGAGAAUGCUUCUAUGAAGCUUUUAUAUUGUUCUUUCUGAUGCUUGACAAACAGUUUAAUAUUCUGAAUGGAGACCGUUUAGCUUUGGUUGAUUAUUGAGUGAAAACUGCUUUAGUUGAUUAGUGCUUCUCUAGGGAGUCCAAGCUCUCAAUCACACAAUGUAUCUUGUUUUGCUGGGGACUACAUUUUACAUGGGUUAGGGUCUAUGAUGCAUUAAUAAAUGGAUAUUGUACUUUGUAAUGGAAAAUUACGUCAACCUACUGAGGGCUUUAUCUGUAUAUCCUAUUAAUUUUUUGUCCCACAUGUUUGGCCUAUUACAAUGAUAUACCUUCCACGCAUGAGGAGAGAGAGUAUUAUUUAAUUCCUCUACUCACAUGUUCAGCUUUUGCUGGUGGUUCUCCAAUGGAUUGUUGGUUAUGAAGAUCUAGAUGUGUUACAACUUGAUUCUGCAAUAGAGAACACUAAAAUCACUGGACAAAUUGCUCCCCAUUUUUGGCAGCAUUCAGGUUCUUUACUAGAUUUUCUAAACUGUAAAAUUGUCUGUUUCUUAGGUGAUUUACCUAAUAUAUCAUAAGAGGAGAAAGUAAGAUAGAGUUCAUACUCAAAGUUGGUACCCAGAAAGCUACCGGAUCAAUUAUUUUUUCCCCUGCCUCUUGCUCUGAUUAAAUGCUGAGAGAUUGUGCAUUAUCUUGUUGUGUACUUGUGUCUGCACAAUGCUCAAAACUUCAGAAUAUAUUUACCGACAAAAAGUAUAUAUUUAGUGUUGCUUCCAUCUUUUCUUACAAGAAUGCUUAGAGAUACUGAAUGCAGUGAUACAGUAUAUUUUUUAUCCCUUUGGAGCAUAAUUUUGUUAGGUGCAAGACAUUGGUUAUACUAGAUUAUCUGUGCCUUUGCAUUUAUUUUCCAAGUUGUUUAGCUGUGAACUCAAAUUAUCUUUUCAAUGGAUCUCCUGCAGGGCCACUUGCACAGUAUAGGAGUCUUGUUAAGUAAGGGAAGCUGCAGCAUGAUCCUUACCAGGAAGAGGUUGCUUUUAAACUGGAAAAUCUGCUUGGGAGAAUGGAGCAAUAUGAGAAAGAUAUGGAGGAGUACCAUGUAGGCCACAACAGUUUAUAGUGGUUAAAUAAUACUGAAACGCUGUUCCUGGCCUUAUGUUAUUCCUCAUAUUCAUAGGAAAAGCUUACCAAAUGGGAGCAGAAGAGGGAAAACGAACGGCGCAGGCUUUUGAUGCAGGAAGCUGAGACCAAACAAGAGGGGGGUGGUAUGACAUCAAUAAGCAAGCAGCGAAAUCUUUUCCAAAGAUGGAUGUCCCGGUAAGGCUAUCAAUUUUCCCUUGAUUUUGUAGCAAUACUGAAACUGGAUAUUUCAAUGAAUUAUACGUUGGUUCAUAAAAAUCUGAAUAGGAUUUCCUGUCAUUGAACCAGUUGCGAAUUCUGUAAAGUUCAGCAUGAGGUCCAAUUCCUGUAUUUUGCUCCCUUCAUCAGUCAAAAGAAAUAUAUUUUUUCCCUGCUAGUGAUAUUUGUCUUCAUUCAGGAAGAAACAUGAAAUUGUAGAGCCAGGAGUAGGGAAAUGGGUCUCAUAUCUUAAUCGAGAGAAGAAAUUAGAUUCACUGGUUGGUCGUCGUCCCACUGCUCCUCCAGCCCCCAGAGGAUUGUAUCUUUAUGGGAACGUUGGAAGUGGUUCGUUCCUGCAUCUUGAUUAUCUGCACUUCCUUGCCAAUGCACAUUUCUGCACUUAAGAUUUCUAGUAUGUUACUACAUUAAGGCACUAAAAGGAUUCAAUGAUUUCACUUAUCUUUUAUAAAGUAGACAUGCAAUCUAACAUGAAUAGCAUGUUAAUACACAGCAUCUCUCUCUAUUAAUAUUAUUCUGGUUGUGGUUUUACUUUUUCACAUACCAAUUUGAAGAAAUUUUUGCAUCAUUUAGGUAAGACAAUGCUUAUGGAUAUGUUUUAUGGUGCGACUGAAGGAGUUGUAAAACACCAAAGAAGAUUUCACUUUCAUGAGGUGACUGCAUACUGGUACAGAGUGUGGUGUAAUUUCACUAUGCCAUCUUCUGAAUUUUAUUAUGUGAAUUAUUUUCCUAAGCAGCUGUUAUGCAAUUCUACUUGGAAAAAUUUAAGUUACAAGUUCUUAUUACUUUCUGUUCAUUUGCCAGUCUCCACUUUGCUAGCUUUUAUUUGGUUCAUCAUAUCUUGUUUCUUCUUGGUUUCUCCUUGUCAAUGUUGGAUGGGCAUAUGUAAGCCCUGCUAUAUCUUCUUUGACUUCUGGCAUGUCUUUCUUUUGACUGUAAGGCAUUUGGUGAGAGAACCCUAGGCAUUCCAUAAGAUGAUAAACCACAAACAAAAGACUUGUAGAGUUUAAGGCAAAUGAGAUUAAAAUGGAGCAUAUAUUGCAUUUAUUCUAAUUAUAGCUUCUUUUUGCUUGAUGCUUCCUAUCAAAGGUAUAACAAACUCUCAUGGAUUCCAUAUUGAAAGUUCUGUAGUAGGUCUAGUCGUUGCUCUAUCCUUGUUUUUCUUGGUAAGAAGCUUAAAACUGAUUGAUGGACGUAAACAAGACUUUCUGGGUAGGUAGUGCAAGAAGGCAGCAGUUAAAAAGUUGAUAACUACUUCUGCAAAAGCAGAAGAAGAAUGAAUCAAACUUUCAGAAUUAGCACAUCAUGAAGUUGGUACAGGAGGAUAGAAUCACAGAACUAUAGGGAAAUAUUUAACGUGCCACAGUAGUCAGUGACACCACAUUUGCUUUACCUAUAAUGUUUCUCUACAAACCCAUCAUGUGUAGAUAUCAACAUUAACAGAUGGAGGAGUAGGUUUUAUAUUAAGACCACUCUGUACCAACUAAUGCUUUGGCAAAUCAAAAGUACUCACUCCUCAUCUGGCUUGAGGAAUGUUGACCAACAGGAAGCAUGCAGAACACAAAUAAAGACACACACACACACACACAAUAUAAGUUGGUUUGGGCUUAACUUGCUUCAAACCUUAAUUUUUGCGGAUUUUCAUUUUUGUUUCCAUAAUUAUUUUUUUAUUGCUCUUUAAAAAUGUCUUUUCUCGACAGGCUAUGCUGUUAAUAAAUGAGCACAUGCAUAAGAUAUGGAAGGAUCAAGUUAAGAAUAAAAGUUUGCAGUCAAGUAUUUCUAGUUGGAUUACUAAUCUUCCCUUUGAUACAAAAAUUAAAGAGUGGUUAGCUGCAGAAGAAAGAUAUAAGCAAGAGGUGCAGAUGAAAAACAUCCUUCCUGCUGUAGCUGAUAAGUUUCUCACUGAAGCCCAUGGAAAUCAUGCAGGAGCUAGCCUUCUGUGCUUUGAUGAAAUACAGGUCUGAUGAUGUAAUGUUUCAUAGAUUUACUUUAGUGGUUCUUCAAGAAUUAUCUACAUCCUUACCUACAGAUAUCUGUUACUGUCUUCUUUAUAAAUCCUUUUUUUUGUUAGUUAUCUGAGCAAGAAUAUUAGGUUCAACUGAUGUUUGUUACUAUAAGUGGGAAGACAGAAUAUUCAAGUUAGUCAUCUACUGUAAUAAAAUGUUUGAGUUCUACCCUUGUAGAAUUCCUAAGUACAAACAUGAAUAACAGACCCUGUUAAAGAAAUCUAAUUUGCAACAUGACUAAGUGUUAUGUUAUUGUACUACUACAUCUAACGUGAUUCAUUUUGUAGAUCAGUUUACUGCUACUUGAACUGGAUAUUGGAAUUAUAUUAUGAAGCGGGUUUUGUUUUACCUUAUAUUAUUUUCUGCAAAUGAGUGGGGCAUAAUUUUUCUUUGAAUGAUUAAGUUAUAUUCUUUAUUUCGUGCAAAUUUCUGAGUCGGAUUGAAAUUUUGGAGACGGAAUCUUUAAAUUUAAUAUCUUACUUGCUCUUGCAGACAGUUGAUGUUUUUGCAAUCGUAGCAUUAUCUGGAAUUCUAAGUAGAUUGUUAAGCAAUGGAACAAUUCUUGUUGCCACCAGUAAUCGUGCACCGAGAGACCUGAAUCAGGUGUCUUUAUACUAAAUAAAUUUAUGUUUUUAUGCUUCCUUUGGUGUUCUAUCCAGGACUCUGUGACAUGCUAUGCAUGGGACUUUGAACAUAUAUUGCACCCCAUAUAAAAUGUUCCUGCAACUUCUCUCCUUCCUUUCAGGAUGGUAUGCAAAAGGAAAUCUUCCAAAAGCUUGUAGCAAAAUUGGAUGAACAAUGUGAUAACUGUCUAAUAGGAAGUGAAAUUGACUAUCGCCGUCUUAUAGCAAAAAGAUCUAUUGAUCAGGUGAGCAUGAAGGCAAAUCAAUUAUCUUUUCCAUGUGUUUCUGUUUUUAUGACUUUUAGUUGUGAAAGAUGUGAUGGCCACAUCCUUAAUUACCAUACAUGCAGAUGUACGAGUAUUGUACAGAACCUUAAUGAUUGACAAAGAGAGCAAUAAAAAGAACAAGCUUGAAAAUUUAAGCACAUUUGAAGGUGUAUCCUGGAGAUAGCUCUGAAUAAUGAAUGGUUUGCUAAACAAGAAUGUGGUAUUACAUUGCAAUAAGAUUCAGUUUCUUUUUGUCUAAAUUCUUUAAUUGGUCCAUUCAGCUGUAGGAAUAUUCACACUCGUAACAUUUCUAAAGAUUCUCCUGGCAAAAAGAUGAACUUGAGUCUUAGUUGGUGUGGUUGAGAUAUAUAUUUUUGUUUCUUUCUGAACUUAAUUGAAUUUUCUAUAUUCUACUUCAGUCUCAUCGUCUUCGUUGCUCCAAUAUAUUGGUUAUCUGUUAGUCAUAGAAUAAGUCCAACCUGUACUUAGAUGUUGUUUUUGGGGUUAAGUGCAUCUCCAUUUUCCUAUGUCUAUUCAGGUUCAUUAUUUUUGGCCACUGAAUAGUAUCAAAACAGAGGAAUUUGAGAUUAUGUGGGACAAGCUUACAAGACUAUCUGGGGGAAUAAUCACUUCAAAGGCAAUUCGAGUGAUGUUUGGGAGGUACUCUUCAAUCUAUCUGCGUCCAUUUUACUGAUAUAUCUCACUCAGCUUUUGAUAUUACAUUUUUUUCGCAAUCAGAACAUUGGAGGUUCGCCUAAGCUGUAACGGUUUGGCACGUUUCACAUUUGAGUACCUAUGCGGUCGACCGGUAAAUUGCUUCAUUUUGGGUAAAAGUAUCUUUUAUAUUGUUGUGCUAUUUAAAUUAAUACCAUCUAAAUCAUUCUUUCUUCAAAAUAAUUUAUAAGCUGAAACCUGCCUAUAAUGAUUUAGGAUUGUUUAAAUGAUGGUACUGUAAAUAGAAAAGCUCGAAAUAUUUAGAUUGUGGUUUAGUGUUUUUUUAUAGUAUCACUAAUUCAAAGCUAGUCUAUCUUUUUUCUCUCUCUUUUGGCGCUCUGUUCAUGCUGGAACAAUUUCUAUUGUGUGUAUGCUGAUGCAUAUUUAGUAUCAUUCAUUAUCUGAAAACAUUCGAAAACAGAAGCAAUAUCUGGUCGAUUUUACGACUAAAGACUGUUAAACUUGCUUUGACUCUUUCUAAGAUUUGUGCCUCGUAUAUUUUUGCACAUCUUUAAAUUGAAAUCCUUCCUUCCAUCUUGUAAUGUACUUUUGCAAACAAAAGGAAGGAAACUUGAUGAAACAAAUGAAAAUAGCUAGGUCCAUGUCUAGAUCAAUAUUCAAAGAGUUCAUACUGUCAUAUUAUUGGAUAUUACUACAAAGAAAAGUACUUUGGUGGAAAAAUAUGAGUAUUCCUUCCUAAAAAAUAUCUUCCAAGUCUCAGAUGAUUCUUACUGUUUGUGAGUGUAUACUAAAGCUAUCAAUUCCUGUCCCUGAUAGAUGAACCAACCACUCAGUGACAUCUGCACUGCAUUUUAAUUUAAUUUUUUGAUGCUUGACCUUGUUGCACGUCCCCCUUUACCUUCUUUUUCCUGUUUGAUCCCAUUAGCAAUUAUUGCAGGUUGGAGCCGCAGAUUAUAUUUCUGUAGCUAAAAAUUACCACAUGAUCUUUAUCUCAGACAUCCCUACUAUGAGCAUGCGAAUUCGUGAUAAGGUACCAAGGCUGCUUAAGUGAAUGCUAUUUCCUUCAGUACAUCAGUAUCAAUUCCUACAGCAUUUUUGUGCAUGCAAGUUUUUGUGAUUUACAUCAGGCUUUAAAUGAAUAGAUAUGCUUCUUAUCGCCCAUGCUGUUCACUUGACAUUCUUCUUUUUCCUUCUUUCAGUUUAAUGUAAGGAGAAAUUGCCUAUUUUUCACUUUAGUCUUUCUUUUCUUAUUUUACCUAUUACAUCAAGGGGGAAGGGAGCUUUUGAAGGUCGAACAGGUUCCCUUAAAAUGUCAUCUCAAGGGAAAAUCAUACUUGUCUCAAGGUUUAUGAUAAACUUACUUCGAAACUUACCAGCCACCAUUAGUAGUAUACAAUAAGAUACAGCUUCUAGAUUCCUGAUUGCUAUGCGCUUAGCUUGAGUUUGAACAUGUUCCAUGGAUCAUGGUGGCUUAUUCAGUCUCAUGGAUGGGUUUCUGAAGUAUAGUCGCCCUCAGUGUAUUUAGGGAUCAUAGUUUUCAGCAUACUAAAAUAUGGUGCCAUUUUAGUGAAACAAUUUAAGGCACCUUUUAAGGACAACAGUUUACAAGCUACCUAAUAGAUUGCUCUAUAUGCUUGCAAGGUGCUUGUGCAGUUUAUCAGGUUAUCCUGUUUUUCUUGGAUAAGACUGACCAAUGUGUGAGCAUUCUAAAGCUUCCAAUGAUUAUCUUAUCUUUGGAAAGCUAAGACAAACUGAUAGACUGACAGUCUAAUAAACAGAUUGAUAUUGCUUCUGUAUGAUUACCAGCUACAAUUACCGAUACUGGGUUUCUCGCUUCCAGGCUCGGAGAUUUAUAACUCUCAUUGAUGAACUUUACAAUCACCAUUGCUGCCUAUACUGUUCUGCUGCUUCUUCAAUAGAUGACCUAUUUCAAGGAACUGAAGAGGGUACACUUUUUGACUUGGAGAGGUGAGGAAAUCAUUUGAUCAUUCUUCUUUUGUGAGUUUCUUGACACAUUGGUCCAUGGAUGACCCCCACACCCUUUGGCUUUGCUUAGUUAGCUCUUUCAUCUAUUGACACGCAUGAGUUUCAUCAGAAAUUAUUUUACACUACCUAGCAUACUUGCAACAUGUCAUCAAUUCAUUAUAGAUCAAUGUUAUAUAACAAAGUAUUCCCUAAAAGUAUCAAAAUUCUAUUAUGAGAAGUUUCCUAGAGCCAUGGAGGUUUUUUUUUCAUUUUUUUUAAUUAUAUCUGUUUUCUGCUUCUUUUCUCCUGAGCAGAGCCAAGUUCUUUCAUUAGCUAGGGUUUUAUUGUACCAUUUUGACAUUGUUUCUCAUGAUGCAAGUUUUAUGUGUCAAUUUUCAGUGAAAAAUGUGCGCUGUGCUUUACCUCUGCUUACGGUGUGCCCUAUUUUCAUUUUUGUUUUUCCUAUAUUCUGACAGUUCAGUUUUAUGUUGCCCUGUACGUCUUUAUUUUUUCUUUUUAUGACUUAGUGUGCUUUUGGCCUAAUAUCUCAUAAUGUAAAUUAACUAUGAUUCGUCAAGGACAAUCCUAAAGCAUUAAUAUACAUUAGAGAGAGAGAGAGAGAGAGAGAUGAUUUACUUGCUGCGAUUUCAAUGAAUAAUUGAUUUUAGUAGAAUAGAUUGUUAUGUUAGUAAUACUUAUGAAAGGAUUCGAGGAUUAAAAGACCAAAUAUGUCGUCCUUGUAUGCAGACGUGAUAUUUCCCUCCAGAAAAUGAAUCAUAACAUUUUCAUUAACAGAGUGAUGUGAUAAAUUGAUCAAUUCAAAUUUAGGCACAAAUAAUUGUCUCUUUUUAAUGCAAAAGACAUAGUUUUAUAUUACACAUUGCUUCCCAAAUGGCAAUGUCAUCUAAACCUGCUAUUAAGAAAUCUAAGGGUAUGCACUAGGUUGGUAGCAUGAUAUCAGGAUUGGCAGUAAAAUGGAUAUAGUGAAUUUACUGUUUUAAAAGAGUAUGGAAGUGACUUUUGGCAUAGACAUUACUUCUCUUUUAUGUCUGGUGACUGAUGAUCAAGUUUCUGGUCAAGUACAUUCUCAGUGAGAAAAUCGAAUCAAAUAUGAAUGGAUAACAUUCGUAAGGCCAGUCUUUGACCCGUCUAGAGUUGCUGGAAAACUUUAAAGUUUAAGCAAUAUGCCAUCUACAUCACCUGUCUUUUAGCUUCAACUUCUGUCUUUGGUUAUAAAGACUACAUUGGUUCAUUUCUGCUCUCCUUUUCCAGCUUCCAAUUUGAAACAGAGACUGAAGGUGCCAAACUGCGACGAGAUGUUCUAGCAGAGGGCACAGUUAGUUCUGGUGGUACACCAACUGGAAUUACUUCCAUGCUAUCUGGUCAAGAGGAGAUGUUUGCAUUUCGCCGAGCUGUAAGUCAUUUUUUGCGUGAUUGUCAAUUUUUGCCGUCUUUUAUCAUGAAUGUUCUACAUUUUUUCUGUCAAGUCAUAGGAAAUGCUGUUUCUAAGUCCAUAGUUUAGCAUGUUAAACCUUCUCAUAGAAGGUUAUUGCAAUUUCCCUGAAGGGUUAAUCGCAGUAAAACCCCAUCAGGUUUAGCAUGCUUUGCAUGUUAGUCUUAAAGUUACUUUCUCCCACUUUACUCCUUGAGUUGGUUUUGUAACACUUAACCCACUAUUGCCAUUGAUGAAAACAAGUUUGUCGUCAAAACAACUAAGACUUGUACCCCUAGCAACAUUCAGAUAGUGUCCCAUGCUGCACCCAAUAAUACCUGCUUCAUUAGACUAGCAGAAGAAAUUGUCAUGCUGCCAUAAUAAGAUGAAUCUGGUGGAUUCAUUAACUCAGUUCUUGACUGGUGUAUUCGCCAUGGCCUAAGAUUUGCUAUCAGGAAUAAUCUGUUAAUAUCUUUUGUUCUAUCUUUGUUAUCUGGUAAGUUGUGGUUGUGAUUGUGGCCUCUAUAUACUGUACAUUAGGGCAUGAACUAAAAGGCUGGUACAUGCAGGUUUCCCGCUUGAUUGAGAUGCAAACACCUUUAUACCUGGAAGGUGUCCGCCAUCUUCAUCCGUAUUUCCAGAAUCAAAAGGAAAGCUUUGGUACUCUUAAUGCAAAAGCAACUCAAUUUCGGGAACCAUCUCUUGAAAUCAUUUGAUGUGUACAUCACGUCGAAACUUUUAGUACAUUUUUUGUGCUCGUUUGCCAUCAUUUAAUAGGAUAUACCGAUAACAAAGGGAAAUGAAUUUUUAAACAACAUUUUGCUAUCUAGUUCUGUUCCUAUUUCCAAGGAUGCCCUUUUCCUCUUGAUCUUCAGCCCGUAAAAUUACACGUAUAUAUAUAUAUAUAUAUAUGGAAGUCAAAUCCCUCUUCAUAUCCUGCAAAAGGUGUGACGUAAAAUAUUAAGCAAUGGAGCAACCGAAGAACAUAGUGAAGAUAAUAAGCUGGAGACAAGGAAGAAGUGUAAGUACUGGAUGUAUUCAAUGUUGAUUUUGGCAUCAGGGUUGCGGGAGAUAGCUGCAAAAGCAUCACUAGACAAAACAAUGGUGGAAGGGCAUGGGCGUCUUGGGCAGAAAUCCACCACCCUAACGUCGAUGGUGGUGCCAAUAUCUCUGCAUGGCUUGUUGCUGCCGCUCAAGCAUCUUAAUCUGUAGCGUCUGCCGCAUGCAGCCCCGUUAUCCCACAGCCCUUCACUCACAGCAACGAACAGAUUUCCUGCUGGAAACUGAUCAUUUCUGUUUCCCCCGCACUUGGUGGCUGCACGAGUUAAAUUUAGAGUAAAUUUUAUAAUCAAAUUCCAUAUCCUUCCUAAUACGAUUCUCAAACAACUGAAAAAACAAAAAAGCUGCUGCUAAAUAAUGAUAUAGAAACUUCUGAGAAAUCAAAUGUUGCUCACGGGUAUAUGGAGGAUUGUAAGAAGUGGCAGUGCCAAUGUGUCCAAGGACUAAGUUUAUUUUAGCCAGACUGAAUAUGCUGAUUAAGACAAAUUUGAAGCGUAGGAGAUCCAUGAUUAUGGCUGUGGACUUUACUUCUGCCUAGGUAGGGUAGCUUGAUUCUCGACUUCGGAUGUGGGGGAAAUGUGCCUAAUUUACCUCAAAUUUAUACUAGCUGUAGAUAAAAUCAGCCCGAGGUUUCAAACUGAUCUCUAAACCGUCCCCUUUAUUUUUUUAUUAAGGUAUUUGAAUGUGGAUAGCUACUAAGAAAAGUUGCCAAUAUCUAAGCUGCAAGCAGCACGAGUACUUUUGGUUGGGAAUCAAUGGCAAUUGCAGUCCACGUUGACAAUGGAUGGUGAAAUGAAUUCAGCUUGUUGACGAUGAGAGGAGGGGUUGAGCAUAUGGUUUCCUGCGUCAUGCACAAUCUUUCCACUUUCCCCUAGAAAUGUUUUGUUUUUUACAAACAUGGUACGCUAUCAAACUACCAUCAAUCACAUUGUUCAUAAUCAAAUAGGGUUUUGGAAAUUUAGCACAUGUCACUAAAGAAAUACAUUAGUAGGUUUCAAGAAACUUCAUAUAUAUAUAUAUAUAAAUCCUCUACCCACUCUUAUAAAACAUGUCAUCAAAGGAAUCACAAUCGUGUUGGUAACAUGGUUCAAAGUCGCCGUCGCAGUUGCGGUCGCGGCCCAAACUGUUCCACAUCUGUCUCGACGCAUCGACCGCGGUCUCAGCGAAACGCAAAUUUUUAAAAUAUUUAAUAUUUUAAAAAUUGUAAAAAAUAUGAUAAACAAAAAUAAUUAAAAAUUAGUAAAAAUAAUAAAAAUUCAAAUUGAUUUGGGAUGAUUCGGAGUGACUCGGGACGAUUCGACCGUUUCUAUCCAUUUCGAAGACGUCUUGGUUGAGUUUUCGGUGAUUCGGCCAAGUUCUCGACAAUUCAUUAUCUCGGAACCAUCUCAUCCUGGUAUCGGAUCGGAAAGCCCAUUUCUGGUGACGACUCAGCCAAGUCUUUGAACCAUUGUUGGUACACUAACUAAGGUCUCUGUUAGGAAGAGUACAAUGUUCAUGUUUUCUCUCGGUUACAUGUUUACAACAUGAAAAAUAACUCAACUGUCAAAUAUUAUAGCUGAUAGCUCUAAGUGAUGUGAAGGCUGUGCUACGGAAUUCAACUAACAUAACAUGUAAGAUGUCCAAAGUAAAAGUCCACGGACCGCCACUAAUGGACGACUAGCCUGCCCUGGAAAUCAAAAGACAAAUUCCCUUUGUUUAGUUAGCCUCGUCAAUUAAGGAUCCCACUGAAGGUGAGGGUGAAGCUGCAAAGGUCAUUUAUCUAAUGAAAUUGAUGAAGUUAUCUUUUUCAUUAAUUCAGUUCAGAUCAAAGGUCCAAAGUAGGUGCAAGAAUCGCUAGGGGUAUCAUGCAGCUCGGUUGAUUGUUGGAGAUGUUUCACUGCUUUUAAUCCUAAUUAGAAGCCAAAUUGUUUGUUUGAAUAGUAGUUGUUUGGGAAAAACUUUAUUGGGGAUUUUUAACACAAUUUUUUCUCACCACCUUUAUUAUUUUUUGAGCUACUUUUUUUAUCUCAUGAAUAUCUAAUGAAUUCUUCUCUCACGCAAAUAAAGAAUUUGAAAUUCCAUACCAAUUCUAUGCAUUUUCCAAACGAAAGAAUUGCAAUGACUUGGAAUUCCAAUUUUAUAGAAUUCGAAUUCUAAUUCGAUUUCAAUUCUAUAGUACCAAACGCACCCUUUAUGAGAUUAAACUAUUUAUAGUAGAUUGAUGGAGGAAUCAUCAGAGAAGAGCAAUGACAUAAUUAUUGACAGUUUAGACUAGCGAGGCACUAGCUUGAUGCACCAAAGUCAAAUCGGAAAAACGAGAUAAGUUUAUACCGAAUAGGCUUCAAAAUCCUCCAUUAUCAUAUCCAAAGUUGAAGAUAUUAGGAUGGACCGAACCCACGCUGACCCCGGUUGGUUUGCUCUCAUAUUGAUGAUACAAUCCCGCAGCAGCACAAUUGUUUAGUGUAAAAAAUGAAGAAUUGUUGUAAUUAGCCUCAGCCGCCACCUUGCUAGCAUGACUCGUCACACUGUUUUUCAUGUUUUCCAGUGAAUCUCUUAGUUGUUCAAGUUCGUGUAAUCCAAGUUCAUUAACAGGGGAUUCCCACCAAUAAUGAUUUUUGCUGGCUUUUCUCAUGAGAUCAAAUGCCUCGCCUCUUUUCUUCUCAACUUCUAAUUCACUGAGAAUUUGAGUGAGCUGCAAGUUGAGCUCCCGGACACUACUGGCAUUCCUGUGAGCCCCAACGAGGUGGAGUGCACUCGAGUUUGGCUGAGGAUUUCUGCAUCGCGCAAUGAAUUUAUCGAUUAUGUAAUCGACACUAGGAUGGCCAAAAGAAAAUACUUUUCCCGCUGGGGAAAAAACUAUAAUGGCUAAUUCAACGCCACAGAGAGUGCUGAGUUCGUGCGCCUUCUUAUAGAGUCCCGAACGGCGUUUUGAAAAUGUAACUUGGAGAUGAUUCUUGAUCUCAAUUUUUGCAAUUUUGAUCUUUUGGCGACCCAUGCUAGGUUUCUUUGCCAUGAUCUUCUUCUGAAUACAAGAGGGAGAGAGGUUUUUUAGGUUAGGUUUGGUGGUUCUAUGAAGAGUUAUGGAUAAAGUGGAGAAGCAACAAUUUAAAGGGCCUCAAGUUUACUCUUGAAUCUGGAUAGAUUGAUUGUAAUUUGUGCUAGCUAGUAUAUGUAAUCAUUAGGCAUAAUUACCCUUGAUUUGGGAGUUUAAAAAAAUCUUAGAUCUUAAUGCUAUGAUGGUGUGACAUAAAUCUUCUCUUAGUUGGCAUUACAAGGUGAAGUAUCAGUUAUUAUUGCAAGCCAAAGUCAACUCAUAUAUAUGUGUUUCUCUACUCAUUUUGGGUAUGAAUUGAUGAUCAAUUGGCACUCACACUCACUCUGUAGGCAUUUGUUAGAGCACAGAAAGUGCUUUUGGCACGUUACUUAUGUCUUCAUAAAGAGCCGAAAGAUGGAAGAGCAUUUAUAGAGGAGCAAAAUGCUGUGUAUAACUGUUUUUACCAUAAAACGCUAGUAGUAAUUAGGAUAAGAAGUGAAUCAUAACGUAAGUGAAUUGGCAGCAGCUUCACUUCACAUGCCCUAUAUGCUAAGAACUAAGAGGGCAAAUGGGUAAAUAGGAAUUGUGGCUUUUUUUUUUGUCAAAAAGGAAUUGUAGCUAUUUACCUCCUGCUAUUAAUUAAUAAUUACAGGGAUUUUGUUAACAAGUGAAGAAAUCGGUGAAAAAAAGUAAAACCUUAAAAUUUAGGAAAUAAAGCUAAGAUGCAAAAGCUACCACGAAUCAAAAAAUUUAAGAAGAUGCCAAAUUGAUAAUUAGUCACACGUUCUUACUUGAAAGUGAUUAGAAAACACUUGGUAAGAAAUCUUCCAAAGAUUCAAAUAUAGUAUGAUAUAUGCCAGCUAUUAACGGAAAGCCAUACAAUAAUCUGACAACCUUCAACUAGUUAUCAUCAUUGUCUUUAAAGUAACAAAGGGUCAUCAAAGCAAGAAUUCUAUCGUCAUAUCUGGAUCAAUAGUACUUUCUAAGGUUUUUGUUGUAGGUCAGUAUCAUACAGUUAUGACAAGCUAAAAACCCCAGUAAACCUUAUUCGCUGAACUUUGAUCUCAAGGCCCAUGGAUUAAAUCCGCCCAACUUUUCUCUACCUAUUUAGCUAAUAUCCUAUUGAUUAUCAUUGUGAACUCUCCAUGGUUCAAAACACUAUACAAUCAUCGUCUAUUCCUUUUGUUUUUACUCUUCUUCUUCUUUUGUACUACAAGGGGAAACAUCGUUUGUCUAUCGGUAUUGUAAAAGGAACUAACGUGUACACGUGCAAGUAUGAGAAAACCAACAUAAGAAACAGGAACAACAUGCUAUUCAUUUUUUUUUCAGUAAUUCAUUCAAAUAUUGGACGAAAAUUUACUCAUUAUGAUCAAACAUUUUGCACAAGAAUGGUGAAUUUUAUUGUAAAGGACGUUUCGUCCAAUCAAAAUGAAACCUAAAUGCUUUUCAUUUGUAGCGAUGCACUUUCGAACCGUGAUCCUAAACAACUUAGUAUAGUGUCAAUCAGGCAUCAAAACCACGAAUUGGGAUUCUGUGAUGUUGGCAGAAGACUUUUAAAGGUUUUAAUUGUGGGGAUCGACCAGGCAAGGCUAGAGCUUAUCUUGAUUGUUGAUUUAAAAUUUAUUUAAAUUUCAAAUUAAUAGCUGAGAUUAGUUCGAACCAACUCGGUCGAACCAACUGUUAAAUGUAUUAUGCAAGUGUUCCUGCAACUAUUAGAAUUGUUAAUGGAGUCGAAUUAGUCUGAGUCUGACCCAUUCGGUUAAAAAAAAAAUACCGUUCGAUUUUAUCUUUAAUCGGACUUGACAGAUUUUGACCCUGAAUAUUAAACUCGAAUUAAAUAUGAGCUAAUUUAGGAUCUUACUAGGUUAAACCUCUGACUUUGAAACGUUUAUACAAGUGUGAGUUGAAUUUGAAUCUUUUAACGAAAUCCAAACCUAAAAGCACCAUUUAAUUUGUGAGUAAAGUUUGGACUUAUCAAAACCCUAUUCAAAAAACUCGACUAAUAGCCCUAGCAAUCGCGAAGAAUUUAGAUCCUCAAAACAAGUACUAAACUUUAUAAAAAUUGUUAUAAAUGUGAAUACCUAGCAUCAAGAUGAGUACAUUAAUCCGAGAGAGGAGAGAGGGGGAAGGGAUGUGAUAGAUGAUAGGGCAGAAAGGAGUUGUGAGAGAUCAAAAGUUCAAGACAUUCCACUUAUAAAAAAAAAGUCCAAAAAAAAAAAGAUGAGUACAUUAACAAAUUGAAUGCGUUGUUUAAGAAUUCUUUCUGGAAACUAUUUUUAAACAUUUUUUUGGGGAAAAUUUUCACAUGUAUAGGUUGUUUGAUGUUUCACCGAAAUGGACGAAGGAAGCUAAGAAUUACAAAGCCGUUCUGCCUUCGGUAUCGAAAAGCAUUAGUUUGGAUAGAUUUUUAAUUUUUAAUUUUAGCCUCUCGAUAUUUACCUAGUAUACCUACUGAAAAACCCUAUUAUACUGGUGUGAAGAGAUAUUAGGGGAAAAAAAGUCCAAACUAAGUCAUGCAAUUCUUUAACGCUAUUAUUAUUAUUAUUUCACAUCUUUGUUUGACAGUUUCAUCGCAUGCGGCAGUCUAGAAGAUUAAAGCCAGAAAAAAAGUUUCUUAUGUUUUUUCUUUUUACUUUACAAUCAUCUCCUAUUGGUUUCUUUCCUUGAUUCCAAAUACGGGAUAGAUUGGUAAUACAUCGAAAAAGAAAACUUUAUCCCAUUUUUACUGUUUUGGCAUAAAAGGCUUCUUGUACAACAUCAACAAAAAUACACAGGAAUAAAGUAGAUAAGAUUAAUACCCAGACUUACUUAUACGGUACAAUACAGACACCCAAAUAUGAUUCAACAGAACAAAAUACUACUACAAUAGAUCAGACCAAUUUCUGGAUAUAUGAUUUAGAAAAAUCCACGACCAUAUCCAAGUGCAAACCCAUGAGGAGUCAUAGAAAGUCCCAGACCAGGAGGAGGAACCUUAGCGUCAAUGUUAAUUGGACCAACAUGGCCUCCUCCCUUGGAACUCGAUGACCCAAGAAACGCAGUCGCGUUGGAAGCCUCCACCAUCAACUUCUCUGCCUGAUUGGCCACAUUCUUCUUCAGCUCCUCCAUGGCCGCCUUUAGUUGCUUCAGUUCUUGAAGUCCAAGAUCAUUAACCGGAGCCUCCCACCAGCAUCUUCCUUGACUCGCUGUCCUCAGUUUGAUCAGCUCCUCACCACGCUUUCUCUCAGCGUCUAACUGAUUAAGCAUUUCAGUCAAUUGCAUGUUGAGUUCGCGAAUGCUCGCUGCCCUGUGUGCCUCAACAAUUUGCGAACUGCUCGAACUCGGGCCAGCUUUUCCGGUUACGAAACGAUCGAUGAUGGAGUAAAGGCAAGGAUGGCCAUAGGAGAAAACCUUUUUCCCUGGGGAGAAAACGAUUAUUGCAAUUUCAGCACCACAAAGUGUGUGGAGUUCAUAAGCCUUCUUGAAAAGGCCAGAGCGGCGCUUUGAGAAAGUAACAAGUAAGUUGCUUUCUUUUGACAUUCUUGUCAUUUCAAUCUUUUGCCUACCCUUGCUCUUUCUUGCCAUUGUUUAAGCAGGAAUUAUGUUCCAAUGGGAGGAAUGUGGCUGGGGAUUUAAAGGGUGUGUUCAUUUUCCUAGAAGUUUCUGCCACAUCGUUGUAGAUUUUUGCUACCAUUUAGGAUAUGACUAUUAACUUCUUGUUACCUUUUAAGCCAAGACUGUUAACUUGUUCUUACCUUUUGGUCACAUUCACAGCCUAAUCCAGAAUAGACAAAAAAGAAAAAAAAGAGUAAGCAAUUAAAAGGCAUGUAACACUUGAAUGGUAAAUGCUGAUAUAUAGAUAAGAACUUACAAAAUAGUAGUAAUUAUUAUUGCAUAAGAUUUUUUUUUGGGCGAUUCUAAUCUCAAUGUGAAAAUACUGGAUACAUAAAAGGAAUGAUAUGUAAAUUUCCAAAACCCCAAAAAAAAAAAAAAGUAAUACGACAUGCCACUACAUUGUAAUCACAAGAAUGUAAAAUAAUUUUUUGUUACUUUGUCAAGUACUCAUGUCAAUUAAGGUAAUAAGCGAUCGGACCGUUAUUUGAAAAAAGAACACUCGUUUCGACGUAAUAUUGAGCGGGCAAACACCAUGCACAUGUAACUUUUUCCAAAUGAAAUAAAAUAAAAGCAUGCCAUAGUUUAUAAUUAAUGUUAUUAUCUUCUCAGUUAUGAUACAAAUUUAUUACUAAUAAUAAUAAUAAUUAAGACUGCUUACAAGAUUUUUGAAGAUUUUGAUUUCUUCUUAAUAUACUUACCUUAGCUUAGUAUUUAGUAGCAGCUUAUAUCAGAGACGUAGUAAAUAUCAUCAAUUAUUUAUGGAAAUAUGCAUUGAUAAUUACUAUUCUUAUUAUUAGUCAUUGCGAAAUAUUAAAGGUUAAGAAGCCAUUAAUAAUGUUACAGAUUUCAAUGUUUUCAACUCGUUUCCAAUGUGUACUUAUAUAUCCUGAGCUAAUACAACUCUUGCCCGCUUAUGUAGCCUUGUUUAAUCAUAUGCCAUAAUUAGUUUCUAAGCGUUUGCAUGCACGUUGCAGACCACGUCAAAUGAUGGCCUGUGCGCCCGACCAAUGAAAUCGCUCCACUUUACUGAUAGCAACAGCUGUGUUCGUUAGACAAAAAAAAAAAAAAAAGGAAAAAAACAGCUGCUGUGACUUGAGACCAAAGAAUUGUAUGCAUAUGCUCGUAAAUUCCAAUUCAUUUUAGGCUUAAUUACAUUUACCUCCCCUGAAGUCGGGCCAAAACACCAAAUAAGCUCUAUAGCUUGACCAAAUUAUAAUUAUACCCUUACAAUGGAUGGUGUCUAAACCCCUGUUAACUGAGAUACUGAAAUGAUAAAAAUGCCCUUAUUCCUACAAUUUGCAAAUUUUAACUAAUCCUUGUCAAAAAAGCAAAGAGAGAGAGAGAGAGAGAGAAGAAAAGAUAGGAAGAAAGGAAGAGAAUACAAUCUAAACAUAAUAAUUUUUGCAUUCCAAAGAGAAGUUAAUGAAUAAAUUAGAAGAAGUAAAGAAACAAAAAUAACGAAAAACAAUUUCUUAAUAACAUGCAUACAGGACAUAACAAACCAACAUAAAGGAAAAUGAUGUAAGUAAACAUAAAGGGUAGGAAAGAGAAAAGGUAAACUAAAUAGGUUGGUGGAAGGAAAUUGAGGAAAUAUGGAAAAGAAAAAGAGUGUAGUAUGUUUUUCUAUUCCACUAACUUGUUUUUGUUCUUCAAUUAUUCGAUCGGACUUCCCCUUGCUUCAUUAAUAUCCCUGCUACUGCUGCAUUACUGUAACUUCAGCUCUAAAUCUUCUUUUUAUGAAAAAUUCGAAACUCUAUUCUUUCUCCAAAACCACCAUCCAGGCUUCAUUAACUCUCUCCUUUUGUGCACCAAAUUUGAUGAGCCAUUUCCCUUUUACAAUUACCUUCAUUUCUUUCUUGAUUCUCUUUUAUUCCAAUCACAAAUAUUCAGGCUCAAACAAAUAUAGUAGGGCCUACACAAAGCAUACAUUUUUAUUUUUUUUUGACGAUUUGGUACACAUCCAACUUAAUUUUAUAACACUUUAAGAGCUCGUAAUUGUUGCAUUUGGAUUUAAUUUUUGCUGUGUUAAUGAAAAGGAUAUACUGAUGUAUGGAUGGAUGUUCAUGGGAUUCAUGUUUGUAUUUUGAUUGUGAAUUCAUGAUUAUCGAAUUUGGCAGCAGCCAACUUGGUGGACUUUUGCAAAUUACGUAGAUUCCGGUAGAAGGAAAUGAGGAAUUUAUGGUUUCAAGGGCAUUUUAGGAUUUCUAGCAUAAGACGAUGUUGAUAACAUUAAUGACGAGAGGACCAAUAAUGUUAGUAAAAUAAUUAACUCACAUCAAAAAGUGUCUUUAUUAUAUUUGUUUACCACAAAGAGGGUUAUCUAUAACUUUGUAGAAUUAUAGAGUUUAUUUGGCAAUUUGGUUAAACCUCAAAGGAGCUAAAGGAAAAUAUAACUAACUUUCCUUUACUCUUCCAUAUUUUUCUUUACCAACAAAUACUACCUUAAUUUUCUGCACAUUGCAUCCAAAUUUACAGGACUUUAAAGGAAAAAUAUUUGAUUACCACAAUAUUUUCAAUAAGUAUAAUUAACUACUUAUUUUAUCUACAAAUUUUUCUUGUCAAACAAAUAUACGCAAGGAAGUUAUUUUAACUCACUUGAUUUUCCUACGUAACUUGGCCCAACUUUGUUUCAUUUUAAAAUAGAUCGAGCGUACAUGCCCAACCCCAAUCACGUUAUGGUUAGGGUCAACAACAACAUUGGGAUCAAAUGGAGCAGGCUGGCUCAGCAAGCUUUGGUAGGCCAAGCCCAAUCUACACUGAAGUAAAAGGACCAGGAAAACGACAUAGUUUUGGACUCUCAAUUCAAUUCGGCUUCGUCCCCCGGCCAUGGACUUAUCUGCUCAGAGUCUCAAUUGAAAAAUUGAAGCGGCUGCCGCGAGAUGGCCGCACAACUCCUCCGCGCUCUGCCCAGUAUAGCCUUCCGCUAUAAACACUUCUCACUCAAACCACCUCCAUUGCCUCUUCUAUUCCUAAACUCGCACAGCCCCAGCUUCAAACCCACGCAACCUCCUAAACGCUGCAUUUCAACUCCUUCUGUUUCUGCUUCGUC